This 253-nucleotide ribosomal RNA is filed under the name uncultured bacterium. RNAcentral's name for it is "partial 16S ribosomal RNA". It matches the Rfam family "Bacterial small subunit ribosomal RNA", at positions 524 to 776 of the family's 1533-position model. The record is from RNAcentral.
UACAGAGGGUGCGAGCGUUGUCCGGAAUCACUGGGCGUAAAGGGCGCGUAGGUGGCGAGCCAAGUCCAUGGUGAAAGCUCGAUGCUCAACAUCGAGUCGGCCACGGAUACUGGUGCGCUUGAGCACUGUAGGGGCUAAUGGAAUUCCGGGUGUAGCGGUGGAAUGCGUAGAGAUCCGGAAGAACACCGGUGGCGAAGGCGGUUAGCUGGGCAGUUGCUGACACUGAGGCGCGACAGCGUGGGGAGCAAACAGG